GGGCCAUUAGCUCAGUUGGCUAGAGCGCUGCAUUCGCAUUGCAGAGGUCAUCGGUUCGAAUCCGAUAUGGUCCACCA
RNAcentral lists this transfer RNA (77 nucleotides) under Patescibacteria group bacterium. RNAcentral's name for it is "tRNA-Ala". It matches the Rfam family "tRNA". Rfam says of the family: Transfer RNA (tRNA) molecules are approximately 80 nucleotides in length. Their secondary structure includes four short double-helical elements and three loops (D, anti-codon, and T loops). Further hydrogen bonds mediate the characteristic L-shaped molecular structure. tRNAs have two regions of fundamental functional importance: the anti-codon, which is responsible for specific mRNA codon recognition, and the 3' end, to which the tRNAs corresponding amino acid is attached (by aminoacyl-tRNA synthetases). tRNAs cope with the degeneracy of the genetic code in two manners: having more than one tRNA (with a specific anti-codon) for a particular amino acid; and 'wobble' base-pairing, i.e. permitting non-standard base-pairing at the 3rd anti-codon position. RNAcentral also lists the same sequence under 1 other name. The record is from RNAcentral.